CUGCAUCCACUGAUAGACCUUUGAACAGUUUCCUGUUCUUUGGUUUGCACUAGGAUGCAAGAGGAAAAAAUCCUUGCGCUUUCUGUCUGUCUUUGUGGCAGCCCAGAUUGAAUAAGGGAUUACAUCU
Small nucleolar RNA from Erinaceus europaeus (western European hedgehog), 127 nucleotides. The record is from Ensembl. NCBI's taxonomy places the organism in Eukaryota, Metazoa, Chordata, Mammalia, Eulipotyphla, Erinaceidae.